Molecule: unclassified non-coding RNA, 228 nt
Filed under: Hevea brasiliensis (rubber tree)
Lineage: Eukaryota; Viridiplantae; Streptophyta; Magnoliopsida; Malpighiales; Euphorbiaceae
Source: RNAcentral
CGCGUCGUUGCCGAAGCAGGUGGUGGGUAAAUAUGGGGGGCUAUACUGGGCAGCUGUGCCGACGUCACCGUGAGAAGAAGAGAGAAACUGUGAGAUUAUCAAUAAGAAGAGGAAGAGAGAUGACCAUGGGAGGAGACGAGCUGGGGUUGUUAAAGACAUGUUUGGGUUUUUUUUUAAAAAAAAAAAUAACAAAAAAUGAAGGCCGAACUGAAUGAUCUAAGAGACGGC